GGCCCCAUAGUCUAGCGGUCAGGACGCCGCCCUCUCACGGCGAAGACAGGGGUUCGAUUCCCCUUGGGGCUA
Molecule: transfer RNA, 72 nt
Filed under: Spirochaetota bacterium
Lineage: Bacteria; Pseudomonadati; Spirochaetota
Description: tRNA-Glu
Rfam family: tRNA
About the family: Transfer RNA (tRNA) molecules are approximately 80 nucleotides in length.
Source: RNAcentral